RNAcentral lists this long non-coding RNA (297 nucleotides) under Mytilus galloprovincialis (Mediterranean mussel). Lineage: Eukaryota; Metazoa; Mollusca; Bivalvia; Mytilida; Mytilidae. The record is from RNAcentral.
UUAAUUAAUAUAUUUAAAAAAAAUCAGAAGCUAAAUGCGCUUCUGUAUUUUCCAAAAUAAGCCACUUAUCACAAUAUAAUGUAUAGAGCUAAAUGCACUCCAUACACAAUAUGUGUUACUUAGUGUGUUCCAUACAAAUUAAUAUUUCUAAAAAUAGACGUGCCAAAUUCCUUGAAACGUGAGAACUAAACCGCUGCCACCAUUGUCGUAAUUUCUGCUUCUUGCUAUGUUUUGAUAAGUUUUAAAGCCAGCAAAUACGAAUACUCAUAAAACUAGUAAAUACACGGAGUAAUAAAU